CUCACAGAGAUGUCACACUCCAGGGAAUGGAUUGGACCAGGCACAACAGGCUCAUUGGGAGAUGCCACCCUGAGAGUGUUUAUAAAACUUUUUCUUGUGACAAUGUGACAACAAAUGAGUAAGCCUAGUGUGGAAGAGCAGGAAGAUCAUCUAAGCCAGUCCAGUUGAAACUUUUCUUUUUAAGUUCCAGACAGUUUUAUACAAAGCAACCUAUCUGGAACCCAAUGUAAAGAACAGAUGAAGAUGGAAAUUUCCAGGCCAAAGUACACCAGUCAAGCAUCUCAAGCUGCUAUUUCAAUAUUGAAAGAAAAUAAAACCAUUCUACAGGUCAAGAGAAAUUCAGUUGUAAGUGACCAGGAUCUGCUUGAUUUUACUUCUUUCCCCAGGCCCCUUUGG
Molecule: long non-coding RNA, 396 nt
Filed under: Mustela putorius furo (domestic ferret)
Lineage: Eukaryota; Metazoa; Chordata; Mammalia; Carnivora; Mustelidae
Description: lncRNA (ENSMPUG00000031419.1)
Source: RNAcentral